GACGAACGCUGGCGGCGUGCCUAAUACAUGCAAGUAGAACGCUGAAGGAGGAGCUUGCUCUUCUGGAUGAGUUGCGAACGGGUGAGUAACGCGUAGGUAACCUGCCUGGUAGCGGGGGAUAACUAUUGGAAACGAUAGCUAAUACCGCAUAAGAGUAGAUGUUGCAUGACAUUUACUUAAAAGGUGCAAUUGCAUCACUACCAGAUGGACCUGCGUUGUAUUAGCUAGUUGGUGGGGUAACGGCUUACCAAGGCGACGAUACAUAGCCGACCUGAGAGGGUGAUAGGCCACACUGGGACUGAGACACGGCCCAGACUCCUACGGGAGGCAGCAGUAGGGAAUCUUCGGCAAUGGACGGAAGUCUGACCGAGCAACGCCGCGUGAGUGAAGAAGGUUUUCGGAUCGUAAAGCUCUGUUGUAAGAGAAGAACGAGUGUGAGAGUGGAAAGUUCACACUGUGACGGUAUCUUACCAGAAAGGGACGGCUAACUACGU
RNAcentral lists this ribosomal RNA (494 nucleotides) under uncultured bacterium. RNAcentral's name for it is "partial 16S ribosomal RNA". It matches the Rfam family "Bacterial small subunit ribosomal RNA", at positions 28 to 506 of the family's 1533-position model. The record is from RNAcentral.